UAGGGAAUCUUCCACAAUGGACGAAAGUCUGAUGGAGCAACGCCGCGUGAGUGAAGAGGGUUUCGGCUCGUAAAACUCUGUUGUUAAAGAAGAACAUAUCUGAGAGUAACUGUUCAGGUAUUGACGGUAUUUAACCAGAAAGCCACGGCUAACUACGUGCCAC
RNAcentral lists this ribosomal RNA (163 nucleotides) under uncultured bacterium. RNAcentral describes it as "partial 16S rRNA". It matches the Rfam family "Bacterial small subunit ribosomal RNA", at positions 355 to 511 of the family's 1533-position model. The record is from RNAcentral.